Molecule: long non-coding RNA, 1024 nt
Organism: Dreissena polymorpha
Lineage: Eukaryota; Metazoa; Mollusca; Bivalvia; Myida; Dreissenidae
Exons: 3
Source: RefSeq, a predicted model, not a curated record
UAAACACAAAUCCCAAUUUCAAUUUUGUGUUUUUCGUUGAAUGUUCAAACAUAGACCUGAUUAAAGAAGCAAAUUAAUGUACUUAAGGGAAUGCAAUCAAUCCCUUACCGUGAGUCAAUUGUGGUUUUUUAAGGAAUGCCAUCCGUUAGUGCAUCUGCCAGGCUGUCCAUAUCACUUAAUUGUCCAGUGCAUCUCCUAUGCUCUUUGGAAGGAUUUUCAAAAAAGAAUCCUAGUUCUAAGCGAUGGAAGAAUCUUAUAAUAUGUCUGACCCCAGACCUUGUUGGCGGAUAGCAAAUCUGCGUUUUAUGCCAUGACCAAGGAUACAGAGCUCGUGUGAACAGUCUUGUGAAUAAAGGUCUGGAUCGAUCUCAUGACUCCAAACAUGUAUGGACUAAACUGCUUCUGGUCCCUUGUUCAAAACAAAGACCGUGCCCCAGUCCUGAGGAGGUUACGAGCAGACAACUGCAUGUGAUUGUCAGUGCGAGCAGACGCGUCCCUGAAAUGAUAUGGGACUAAGCUUUAAACAUUGUGGCCUUGUGAAAAGAAACCGUGGGAGAUAUACACUUUGUUUUUAAAUUAAACAAUGUUUUAUUGAAUCAAAAAUAAAAACUAGUUCAUUUGCAAUAUGUGUUUAAUUCACCCAGUUACACAUAUUUACUAUUAUUGUACAUAUGAGCCUUGCUCUGGGAAAACAGGGUUUACUGCAUGUGCCUAAAGUGUUAUCCCAGAUUAGCAAGACUAAGUGAAGUCCAAACAGGCUAAUCAGGGAUGACACUUCCCACUUAAACUGUUGUUGUUGUUUUUUUUAAAGAAAUUACUUCCUGUGCAGUCAGCACAGGCUAAUCAGAGAAGAAACUUUACGCACAUGCAUAAAGCCCCGUUUUCUCAGAGACAGAGCACAGCUCAAAAAUAACGCAAAUUCAUCCAAAAGAAAAUUUCUUGUGUAUUUAAAUAAUUACAUGCAGCAAUAUUCUGUCAUAGCUUUUCAUAGUACAUGGCAUUUUAAAGAUGCUGAAUCUGUAAA